This 402-nucleotide ribosomal RNA is filed under the name uncultured bacterium. Its description in RNAcentral is "bacterial SSU rRNA". It matches the Rfam family "Bacterial small subunit ribosomal RNA", at positions 355 to 774 of the family's 1533-position model. The record is from RNAcentral.
UGGGGAAUAUUGGACAAUGGGCGAAAGCCUGAUCCAGCAAUGCCGCGUGGGUGAAGAAGGUCUUCGGAUUGUAAAUCCCUUUCGGCGGGGACGAUGAUGACGGUACCCGCAGAAGAAGCUCCGGCUAACUUCGUGCCAGCAGCCGCGGUAAUACGAAGGGGGCUAGCGUUGCUCGGAAUGACUGGGCGUAAAGGGCGCGUAGGCGGUUCGUACAGUCGGAUGUGAAAUUCCUGGGCUUAACCUGGGGACUGCAUUCGAUACGUGCGGGCUUGAGUGUGGAAGAGGGUUGUGGAAUUCCCAGUGUAGAGGUGAAAUUCGUAGAUAUUGGGAAGAACACCGGUGGCGAAGGCGGCAACCUGGUCCAUUACUGACGCUGAGGCGCGAAAGCGUGGGGAGCAAACA